ACGGAGGAUGCGAGCGUUAUCCGGAUUCAUUGGGUUUAAAGGGUGCGCAGGCGGACUAAUAAGUCAGUGGUGAAAUCCCAUAGCUUAACUAUGGAACUGCCAUUGAUACUGUUAGACUAGAGUAUGGAUGACGUAGGCGGAAUGCGACAUGUAGCGGUGAAAUGCUUAGAUAUGUGGAGGAAUACCGAUUGCGAAGGCAGCUUACGGAGCCAUAACUGACGCUCAUGCGCGAAAGCGUGGGGAUCAAACAG
RNAcentral lists this ribosomal RNA (251 nucleotides) under uncultured prokaryote. RNAcentral's name for it is "partial 16S rRNA". It matches the Rfam family "Bacterial small subunit ribosomal RNA", at positions 525 to 775 of the family's 1533-position model. The record is from RNAcentral.